This 171-nucleotide ribosomal RNA is filed under the name uncultured bacterium. RNAcentral describes it as "partial 16S ribosomal RNA". It matches the Rfam family "Bacterial small subunit ribosomal RNA", at positions 338 to 524 of the family's 1533-position model. The record is from RNAcentral.
CCUACGGGAGGCAGCAGUGGGGAAUUUUCUGCAAUGGGCGAAAACCUGACGGAGCAAUCCCGAGUGGACGUGGAAGGCCCACGGGUCGUCAAGUUCUUUUCUCGGAGAAGAAACAAUGACGGUAUCUGAGGAAUAAGCAUCGGCUAACUCUGUGCCAGCAGCCGCGGUAAU